This 255-nucleotide ribosomal RNA is filed under the name uncultured bacterium. RNAcentral describes it as "partial 16S ribosomal RNA". It matches the Rfam family "Bacterial small subunit ribosomal RNA", at positions 524 to 776 of the family's 1533-position model. The record is from RNAcentral.
UACGUAGGGGGCAAGCGUUGUCCGGAAUCAUUGGGCGUAAAGCGCGUGUAGGCGGUCGUGACAAGUCACUUGUGAAAUCUCCGGGCUUAACUCGGAACGGUCAAGUGAUACUGUCGGACUAGAGUACAGAAGGGGCAACUGGAAUUCUCGGUGUAGCGGUGAAAUGCGUACGAUAUCGAGAGGAACACCUGCGGCGAAGGCGGGUUGCUGGGCUGAUACUGACGCUGAGGCGCGAAAGCCAGGGGAGCGAACGGG